AGUGAACGCUGGCGGUAGGCCUAACACAUGCAAGUCGAACGGCAGCACAGUAAGAGCUUGCUCUUACAGGUGGCGAGUGGCGGACGGGUGAGGAAUACAUCGGAAUCUACUUUUUCGUGGGGGCUAACGUAGGGAAACUUACGCUAAUACCGCAUACGACCUACGGUUGAAAGCAGGUGAUCUUCGUACCUUGCUCGAUUGAAUGAGCCGAUGUCGGAUUAGCUAGUUGGCGGGGUAAAGGCCCACCAAGGCGACGAUCCGUAGCUGGUCUGAGAGGAUGAUCAGCCACACUGGAACUGAGACACGGUCCAGACGCCUAAGGGAGGCAGCAGUGGGGAAUAUUGGACAAUGGGCGCAAGCCUGAUCCAGCCAUACCGCGUGGGUGAAGAAGGCCUUCGGGUUGUAAAGCCCUUUUGUUGGGAAAGAAAAGCAGCAGGUUAAUACCCCGCUGUUCUGACGGUACCCAAAGAAUAAGCACCGGCUAACUUCGUG
RNAcentral lists this ribosomal RNA (492 nucleotides) under uncultured bacterium. Its description in RNAcentral is "partial 16S ribosomal RNA". It matches the Rfam family "Bacterial small subunit ribosomal RNA", at positions 29 to 507 of the family's 1533-position model. The record is from RNAcentral.